Molecule: ribosomal RNA, 1121 nt
Filed under: Cutibacterium sp.
Lineage: Bacteria; Bacillati; Actinomycetota; Actinomycetes; Propionibacteriales; Propionibacteriaceae
Description: bacterial SSU rRNA
Rfam family: Bacterial small subunit ribosomal RNA
Source: RNAcentral
AUGCRGCUCGGANNASMUASCGCCCKGCUUUUGUGGGGUGCUCGAGUGGCGAACGGGUGAGUAACACGUGAGUAACCUGCCCUUGACUUUGGGAUAACUUCAGGAAACUGGGGCUAAUACCGGAUAGGAGCUCCUGCUGCAUGGUGGGGGUUGGAAAGUUUCGGCGGUUGGGGAUGGACUCGCGGCUUAUCAGCUUGUUGGUGGGGUAGUGGCUUACCAAGGCUUUGACGGGUAGCCGGCCUGAGAGGGUGACCGGCCACAUUGGGACUGAGAUACGGCCCAGACUCCUACGGGAGGCAGCAGUGGGGAAUAUUGCACAAUGGGCGGAAGCCUGAUGCAGCAACGCCGCGUGCGGGAUGACGGCCUUCGGGUUGUAAACCGCUUUCGCCUGUGACGAAGCGUGAGUGACGGUAAUGGGUAAAGAAGCACCGGCUAACUACGUGCCAGCAGCCGCGGUGAUACGUAGGGUGCGAGCGUUGUCCGGAUUUAUUGGGCGUAAAGGGCUCGUAGGUGGUUGAUCGCGUCGGAAGUGUAAUCUUGGGGCUUAACCCUGAGCGUGCUUUCGAUACGGGUUGACUUGAGGAAGGUAGGGGAGAAUGGAAUUCCUGGUGGAGCGGUGGAAUGCGCAGAUAUCAGGAGGAACACCAGUGGCGAAGGCGGUUCUCUGGGCCUUUCCUGACGCUGAGGAGCGAAAGCGUGGGGAGCGAACAGGCUUAGAUACCCUGGUAGUCCACGCUGUAAACGGUGGGUACUAGGUGUGGGGUCCAUUCCACGGGUUCCGUGCCGUAGCUAACGCUUUAAGUACCCCGCCUGGGGAGUACGGCCGCAAGGCUAAAACUCAAAGGAAUUGACGGGGCCCCGCACAAGCGGCGGAGCAUGCGGAUUAAUUCGAUGCAACGCGUAGAACCUUACCUGGGUUUGACAUGGAUCGGGAGUGCUCAGAGAUGGGUGUGCCUCUUUUGGGGUCGGUUCCAAGGUGGUGCAUGGCUGUCGUCAGCUCGUGUCGUGAGAUGUUGGGUUAAGUCCCGCAACGAGCGCAACCCUUGUUCACUGUUGCCAGCACGUUAUGGUGGGGACUCAUUGGAGACCGCCGGGGUCAACUCGGAGGAAGGUGGGGAUGA